GAUGAACGCUGGCGGCGUGCUUAACACAUGCAAGUCGAACGAAGCACUUUAUUUGAUUUCCUUCGGGACUGAUUAUUUUGUGACUGAGUGGCGGACGGGUGAGUAACGCGUGGGUAACCUGCCUUGUACAGGGGGAGAACAGUUGGAAACGGCUGCUAAUACCGCAUAAGCGCACGGCAUCGCAUGAUGCAGUGGGAAAAAGUCCGGUGGUAUAAGAUGGACCCGCGUUGGAUUAGCUAGUUGGUGAGGUAACGGCCCACCAAGGCGACGAUCCAUAGCCGACCUGAGAGGGUGCCCGGCCACAUUGGGACUGCGACACGGCCCACACUCCUACGGGAGGCAGCAGUGGGGAAUAUUGCACAAUGGGCGCAAGCCUGAUGCAGCGACGCCGCGUGAGCGAAGAAGUAUUUCGGUAUGUAAAGCUCUAUCAGCAGGGAAGAUAAUGACGGUACCUGACUAAGAAGCACCGGCUAAAUACGUG
RNAcentral lists this ribosomal RNA (481 nucleotides) under uncultured bacterium. Its description in RNAcentral is "partial 16S ribosomal RNA". It matches the Rfam family "Bacterial small subunit ribosomal RNA", at positions 28 to 507 of the family's 1533-position model. The record is from RNAcentral.